ACUGCUCAGUAACACGUGGACAACCUACCCUUAGGACGGGUAUAAACCCGGGAAACUGGGUAUAAUCCCCGAUAGUCCUCGACUGCUGGAAUGCAUCGAGGACGAAAGCUCCGGCGCCUAUGGAUGGGUCUGCGGCCUAUCAGGUAGUAGUGGGUCUAAUGUACCUACUAGCCUACGACGGGUACGGGUUGUGAGAGCAAGAGCCCGGAGAUGGAUUCUGAGACACGAAUCCAGGCCCUACGGGGUGCAGCAGGCGCGAAAACUUUACAAUGCUGGAAACAGCGAUAAGGGGACCUCGAGUGCCAGGUUACAAAUCUGGCUGUCGUGAUGCCUAAAAAGCAUUGCAUAGCAAGGGCCGGGCAAGACCGGUGCCAGCCGCCGCGGUAACACCGGCGGCUCGAGUGGUAACCGUUAUUAUUGGGUCUAAAGGGUCUGUAGCCGGCCGGAUAAGUCUCUUGGGAAAUCCAGCAGCUCAACUGUUGGGCUUUCAGGAGAUACUGUCUGGCUCGAGGCCGGGAGAGGUGAGAGGUACUUCAGGGGUAGGGGUGAAAUCUUGUAAUCCUUGAAGGACCACCAGUGGCGAAGGCGUCUCACCAGAACGGACCUGACGGCAAGGGACGAAAGCUAGGGGCACGAACCGGAUUAGAUACCCGGGUAGUCCUAGCCGUAAACGAUACUCGCUAGGUGUCGGCCACGGUGCGACCGUUGUCGGUGCCGUAGGGAAGCCGUGAAGCGAGCCACCUGGGAAGUACGGCCGCAAGGCUGAAACUUAAAGGAAUUGGCGGGGGAGCA
RNAcentral lists this ribosomal RNA (792 nucleotides) under uncultured archaeon. RNAcentral's name for it is "bacterial SSU rRNA". It matches the Rfam family "Archaeal small subunit ribosomal RNA", at positions 85 to 878 of the family's 1478-position model. The record is from RNAcentral.